Long non-coding RNA from Capra hircus (goat), 1325 nucleotides. RefSeq lists it as uncharacterized. The record is from RefSeq and is a predicted model, not a curated record. The transcript has 2 exons. NCBI's taxonomy places the organism in Eukaryota, Metazoa, Chordata, Mammalia, Artiodactyla, Bovidae.
UUUAUAUUGAAUUAUCCAAACACUUGGGAUUUAAACUAGUUGCAUAAUGGACAUUGGUAGUAUUGUACCCAAGACAACAAAACUCCAAAUUCAGAUUGCUUGGGAUCAGGGAAAUCAAAUGGAAGUGGAUUAGAGGCGUUUUGCUAUUUGUGGUAAUAUUUUUAAACCAAGCUUGGAAAGUUUGAAGUAUGUUCUGUGCAGUCAAGAAAGUGGAGUGAGAAGGGGGUGUUAAUGUCUCAAGAAUGAAAGCAAAACAGUGAAAGACUUCAGUGCCUUUAGAGACAGGCAGAAGCAUGGAGAAGUGCAGCGCAGGGUGUGGUACUAACGCCGGUGAAAGGAAGCAGCUGGUGGAGAAUAAUGUAAGAAUCCAGCCUAUCAGGGUUCAGAAAUGUUAAGGGAAGCAGAUUUGACCUAAAUCAAAGGACUGACUGCAGAAGAUCUUUAAGAAAGAACCUUUCACAAGUAGAAGAAAGGCUGAGCUGGGAAUUGAAACUGGAGAUGAUUUCUCUGUACGCAUGUAGUUAUACAUACCCCCCUGGCCUUUCACACCAGCCGAAACUGGCUUUUCACUUUCGCCAGCUGCCUCUACUGUGCAGCCCAGGACAGCGCUGGGAAGGGGAAGGCGGAAGGUAGGCCACAGGGACCCUGUGCUUCGAAACGAAACCUUGGUUCUUGGAUGGUAGAAGAACAUAAUCAAGCAGCUCUAAAGUGAUUGAGGACAUUCUGUCCUAGUGCUUCUCAAUGGGUGUUUUAUCAGCUCGCGUAAUCAGGUUAAAAUGCUAUCAGUUCUGUAUCUUGAGCUAGCUAAAGCUGGAUGUGAAAACCAUCAAUCUUAAAAAUUUCUCAUGGAUUAAAUUUUCUCUUGGACACCAAGAGAACAUUUUUACCUCUGCGCGUUUCUGCAUUGUGAGAGACGCCAUAUUUCUCAUUUAAAUGUACGCAGUGACACACAACAUCUUUAUUUGCCUUGAAACUCCUCCACUCCUUGACUUUUAUUUGACCUUACAUUUAUCUGACCUUCACUUUUACAAUAUAAGCUUUUAUAAUCUGCCGUGUAAGCUUCUUUAAAACAUGCCAAGGUAGAGAUUUAGUUACACUCUGUUUGUCUUUUUAAAAAUAAAUAGCCAUAUAUUUUUAAUUUCAGGGCGUUUGAUGUAGAACUGCUUUACAUUGCACAGUUCUUUAAAAUCCCAAUAGCAGAAAUUGCUGUCAACUGGACUGAAAUUGAAGGUUCUAAAUUAGUUCCCUUUUGGAGCUGGCUACAGAUGGGAAAGGAUCUACUUUUUAUACGACUUCGGUAUUUGACUGGUGCCUGGAGGCUUGAA